Molecule: non-coding RNA, 85 nt
Filed under: Candidatus Glomeribacter gigasporarum BEG34
Lineage: Bacteria; Pseudomonadati; Pseudomonadota; Betaproteobacteria; Burkholderiales; Burkholderiaceae
Source: RNAcentral
CUCUAUGGCAGGCCGGAUGGGGGAGUCGAGAGGCUCGCCGGUUCCUAGAUUCCGGUCUUCCAACCCUGUUUGGUCUGCCACCCCA